RNAcentral lists this ribosomal RNA (683 nucleotides) under uncultured bacterium. RNAcentral's name for it is "bacterial SSU rRNA". It matches the Rfam family "Bacterial small subunit ribosomal RNA", at positions 47 to 730 of the family's 1533-position model. The record is from RNAcentral.
CCUAACACAUGCAAGUCGAGGGGUAUAUAGUGCUUGCACUAUAGAGACCGGCGCACGGGUGAGUAACGCGUAUGGAAUCUGCCUUGUACAGGGGAAUAGACCAGGGAAACUUGGAUUAAUGCCCCAUAGUAUUAUAGAACGGCAUUGUUUUAUAAUUAAAGAUUUAUCGGUACAAGAUGAUCAUGCGUCCCAUUAGCUAGUUGGUGUGGUAACGGCACACCAAGGCUACGAUGGGUAGGGGCCCUGAGAGGGGGAUCCCCACACUGGUACUGAGACACGGACCAGACUCCUACGGGAGGCAGCAGUGAGGAAUAUUGGACAAUGGGCGAGAGCCUGAUCCAGCCAUGCCGCGUGCAGGAAGACUGCCCUAUGGGUUGUAAACUGCUUUUUUACGGGAAGAAACACCCCCUCGUGAGGGGGCUUGACGGUACCGUAAGAAUAAGGACCGGCUAACUCCGUGCCAGCAGCCGCGGUAAUACGGAGGGUCCGAGCGUUAUCCGGAAUCAUUGGGUUUAAAGGGUCCGUAGGCGGGCGAUUAAGUCAGUGGUGAAAGUCUGCAGCUCAACUGUAGAAUUGCCAUUGAUACUGGUUGCCUUGAGUCGUUGUGAAGUGGCUAGAAUAUGUGGUGUAGCGGUGAAAUGCUUAGAUAUCACAUAGAAUACCGAUUGCGAAGGCAGGUCACU